Molecule: ribosomal RNA, 302 nt
Filed under: uncultured beta proteobacterium
Lineage: Bacteria; Pseudomonadati; Pseudomonadota; Betaproteobacteria
Description: bacterial SSU rRNA
Rfam family: Bacterial small subunit ribosomal RNA
Source: RNAcentral
GUUGGGUUAAGUCCCGCAACGAGCGCAACCUUGUCAUUAGUUGCUACGAAAGGGCACUCUAAUGAGACUGCCGGUAGACAAACCGGAGGAAGGUGGGGAUGACGUCAAGUCCUCAUGGCCCUUAUGGGUAGGCUUCACACGUCAUACAAUGGUCGGUACAGAGGGCUGCCAACCCGCGAGGGGGAGCCAAUACCUAAAAAGCCGGUCUCAGUUCGGAUUGCAGGCUGCAAUUCGCCUGCAUGAAGUCGGAAUCGCUAGUAAUCGCAGGCCAGCAUACUGCGGUGAAUACGUUCCCGGGCCUU